CAGCAGCCGCGGUAACACGUAGGGUGCGAGCGUUAAUCGGAAUUACUGGGCGUAAAGCGUGCGCAGGCGGUUGUGUAAGACAGGUGUGAAAUCCCCGGGCUUAACCUGGGAACUGCGCUUGUGACUGCACAGCUAGAGUAUGGCAGAGGGGGGUGGAAUUCCACGUGUAGCAGUGAAAUGCGUAGAGAUGUGGAGGAACACCGAUGGCGAAGGCAGCCCCCUGGGCCAAUACUGACGCUCAUGCACGAAAGCGUGGGGAGCAAACAGGAUUAGAUACCCCAGUAGUCCCUGUCUCUUAUAC
RNAcentral lists this ribosomal RNA (301 nucleotides) under uncultured bacterium. RNAcentral describes it as "partial 16S ribosomal RNA". It matches the Rfam family "Bacterial small subunit ribosomal RNA", at positions 509 to 807 of the family's 1533-position model. The record is from RNAcentral.